GUGCGUAAACGCUAUUUCCAAAAUUCAAGAGGUGCGUAAACGGCGUUUACGUGCGUUUACCCUCCACUACAGCCCUGCGUGUGUGAUGUUGUGCCUUUGUUUAAUGUCAUUCUGCGUGCUGUAGAAUGAUGAAAAGGCACCCAGCCCUUUCUCAUCUCCAGGCUUUCCCAAUUAAUUAAAAAUGCUUUGCAUUGGAGAAUGGAUUACUGAAAAGGACACCAGCGCCUGGCGCUCAGCCCGCACAACCCGGAAGCCCGAGAUCGCGGUGCUCCUCGCCUCGGACAGCGACAGAGGCGGAGGAACCCGGAGAGAACCCACGCAGACACGGGGAGAACAUGCAGACUCCACACAGAAAGGCCACUGGGCGGAGUUGAACCCAGGACCUUCUUGCUGUGAGGCACACCACACCACCGUGCCGCCCUCUAUUUUGUGUGAGUGGUUUGGGCUGACUGCAGCGUGGCUACCCGGACGACGGUUGGGCUGUUGACUGGGUCCCUCACUUGCUCCUCACAUUUUUCAGUUGUGUGUCAGUCAGUAUAUUCUCUUAUUUUAUUCAUUUUUUUGCUUUUGGUUUUUGAUUGAUAUUGUUUGGCGUGUGUGGAGAACUGGAGCCAGUGAGGGUCCUGUCCCAGGCCCGCUACAGCCCAGUUACCCAUAGAACCGGAGUUGUUUAGUAAAAGCUUUUUGUUAUCUUACUAAAUUCCCUGAGCUGACGGAGAUUGUUUUAAUACAUUGUUUUCAUAUCAC
Long non-coding RNA from Gasterosteus aculeatus aculeatus (three-spined stickleback), 747 nucleotides. The record is from Ensembl. Lineage: Eukaryota; Metazoa; Chordata; Actinopteri; Perciformes; Gasterosteidae.